UAGUAUGGGGAUCUGCCCGAUAGAGGGGGAUAACUACUGGAAACGGUGGCUAAUACCGCAUAAUGUCUACGGACCAAAGCAGGGGCUCUUCGGACCUUGCACUAUCGGAUGAACCCAUAUGGGAUUAGCUAGUAGGUGGGUAAAGGCUCACCUAGGCGACGAUCUCUAGCUGGUCUGAGAGGAUGAUCAGCCACACUGGGACUGAGACACGGCCCAG
This 217-nucleotide ribosomal RNA is filed under the name uncultured bacterium. RNAcentral describes it as "partial 16S ribosomal RNA". It matches the Rfam family "Bacterial small subunit ribosomal RNA", at positions 113 to 334 of the family's 1533-position model. The record is from RNAcentral.